Molecule: long non-coding RNA, 355 nt
Organism: Xenia sp. Carnegie-2017
Lineage: Eukaryota; Metazoa; Cnidaria; Anthozoa; Malacalcyonacea; Xeniidae
Exons: 2
Source: RefSeq, a predicted model, not a curated record
CAGAGGAAGAUUGAAUCCUUAUUCGUCCCAGCUCAAUCACAAAGCUCAAAAAAUAGAGUGAUUAAGCUUGUUAAAGUUAACCAAAUACAGCCCACAGACACAGUAAUACAAAUUCAUUGAACUUCAGUCACAAGUCCCUGGAAUGAAAAGUACAAUGGUAAACAAAAAUCAUAAGAUGAAAUAUUUUCAGUAUACAAUCAUUAACUAAUUACUUGAAAACGAAAAUAUUUUUUACAAAAGCAAUAAAUAUGUCAUAGUUUAAAAAAGGCAAUUGUAUUAUUAAGGUAUGUUUUAUACUGACAAAUCUGUACCUGAAUUAGUGAAUAUUUGUGAAAUUAGAUAUGAACCAAAUAAA